This 1372-nucleotide ribosomal RNA is filed under the name uncultured bacterium. RNAcentral's name for it is "bacterial SSU rRNA". It matches the Rfam family "Bacterial small subunit ribosomal RNA", at positions 28 to 1381 of the family's 1533-position model. The record is from RNAcentral.
GAUAAACGCUGGCGGCGUGCCUAAUACAUGCAAGUCGAGCGAACGGACGAGAAGCUUGCUUCUCUGAUGUUAGCGGCGGACGGGUGAGUAACACGUGGAUAACCUACCUAUAAGACUGGGAUAACUUCGGGAAACCGGAGCUAAUACCGGAUAAUAUUUUGAACCGCAUGGUUCAAAAGUGAAAGACGGUCUUGCUGUCACUUAUAGAUGGAUCCGCGCUGCAUUAGCUAGUUGGUAAGGUAACGGCUUACCAAGGCAACGAUGCAUAGCCGACCUGAGAGGGUGAUCGGCCACACUGGAACUGAGACACGGUCCAGACUCCUACGGGAGGCAGCAGUAGGGAAUCUUCCGCAAUGGGCGAAAGCCUGACGGAGCAACGCCGCGUGAGUGAUGAAGGUCUUCGGAUCGUAAAACUCUGUUAUUAGGGAAGAACAUAUGUGUAAGUAACUGUGCACAUCUUGAUGGUACCUAAUCAGAAAGCCACGGCUAACUACGUGCCAGCAGCCGCGGUAAUACGUAGGUGGCAAGCGUUAUCCGGAAUUAUUGGGCGUAAAGCGCGCGUAGGCGGUUUUUUAAGUCUGAUGUGAAAGCCCACGGCUCAACCGUGGAGGGUCAUUGGAAACUGGAAAACUUGAGUGCAGAAGAGGAAAGUGGAAUUCCAUGUGUAGCGGUGAAAUGCGCAGAGAUAUGGAGGAACACCAGUGGCGAAGGCGACUUUCUGGUCUGUAACUGACGCUGAUGUGCGAAAGCGUGGGGAUCAAACAGGAUUAGAUACCCUGGUAGUCCACGCCGUAAACGAUGAGUGCUAAGUGUUAGGGGGUUUCCGCCCCUUAGUGCUGCAGCUAACGCAUUAAGCACUCCGCCUGGGGAGUACGACCGCAAGGUUGAAACUCAAAGGAAUUGACGGGGACCCGCACAAGCGGUGGAGCAUGUGGUUUAAUUCGAAGCAACGCGAAGAACCUUACCAAAUCUUGACAUCCUUUGACAACUCUAGAGAUAGAGCCUUCCCCUUCGGGGGACAAAGUGACAGGUGGUGCAUGGUUGUCGUCAGCUCGUGUCGUGAGAUGUUGGGUUAAGUCCCGCAACGAGCGCAACCCUUAAGCUUAGUUGCCAUCAUUAAGUUGGGCACUCUAAGUUGACUGCCGGUGACAAACCGGAGGAAGGUGGGGAUGACGUCAAAUCAUCAUGCCCCUUAUGAUUUGGGCUACACACGUGCUACAAUGGACAAUACAAAGGGCAGCGAAACCGCGAGGUCAAGCAAAUCCCAUAAAGUUGUUCUCAGUUCGGAUUGUAGUCUGCAACUCGACUACAUGAAGCUGGAAUCGCUAGUAAUCGUAGAUCAGCAUGCUACGGUGAAUACGUUCCCGGGUCU